UGGAUUGGCAGGAUUAAUUAG
RNAcentral lists this unclassified non-coding RNA (21 nucleotides) under Mus musculus (house mouse). RNAcentral describes it as "oocyte_clustered_small_RNA10105". The record is from RNAcentral. Lineage: Eukaryota; Metazoa; Chordata; Mammalia; Rodentia; Muridae.